AUUGAACGCUGGCGGCAUGCCUUACACAUGCAAGUCGAACGGUAACAGGUUAAGCUGACGAGUGGCGAACGGGUGAGUAAUAUAUCGGAACGUGCCCAGUCGUGGGGGAUAACGUAGCGAAAGCUACGCUAAUACCGCAUACGAUCUACGGAUGAAAGCGGGGGAUCGCAAGACCUCGCGCGAUUGGAGCGGCCGAUAUCAGAUUAGGUUGUUUGUGAGGUAAAAGCUCACCAAGCCUGCGAUCUGUAGCUGGUCUGAGAGGACGACCAGCCAAACUGGAACUGCGACACGGUCCAGACUCCUACGGGAGGCAGCAGUGGGGAAUUUUGGACAAUGGACGCAAGUCUGAUCCAGCCAUUCCGCGUGCAGGAUGAAGGCCCUCGGGUUGUAAACUGCUUUUGUACGGAACGAAAAGGUCUCUCUUAAUACGGGGGGCUCAUGACGGUACCGUAAGAAUAAGCACCGGCUAACUACGUGCCAGCCGCCGCCGUAA
Molecule: ribosomal RNA, 493 nt
Filed under: uncultured bacterium
Lineage: Bacteria
Description: partial 16S ribosomal RNA
Rfam family: Bacterial small subunit ribosomal RNA
Source: RNAcentral